Molecule: ribosomal RNA, 465 nt
Filed under: uncultured bacterium
Lineage: Bacteria
Description: partial 16S ribosomal RNA
Rfam family: Bacterial small subunit ribosomal RNA
Source: RNAcentral
GACGAACGCUGGCGGCGUGCUUAACACAUGCAAGUCGAACGGAAAGGCCCUGCUUGCAGGGUACUCGAGUGGCGAACGGGUGAGUAACACGUGGGUGAUCUGCCCUGCACUUCGGGAUAAGCCUGGGAAACUGGGUCUAAUACCGGAUAGGAGCCAUUUUUAGUGUGAUGGUUGGAAAGUUUUUUCGGUGUAGGAUGAGCUCGCGGCCUAUCAGCUUGUUGGUGGGGUAAUGGCCUACCAAGGCGGCGACGGGUAGCCGGCCUGAGAGGGUGGACGGCCACAUUGGGACUGAGAUACGGCCCAGACUCCUAAGGGAGGCAGCAGUGGGGAAUAUUGCACAAUGGGCGCAAGCCUGAUGCAGCGACGCCGCGUGGGGGAUGACGGCCUUCGGGUUGUAAACUCCUUUCGCUAGGGACGAAGCUUUUUGUGACGGUACCUAGAGAAGAAGCACCGGCUAACUACGUG